Molecule: transfer RNA, 88 nt
Filed under: Chlamydiales bacterium
Lineage: Bacteria; Pseudomonadati; Chlamydiota; Chlamydiia; Chlamydiales
Description: tRNA-Ser
Rfam family: tRNA
About the family: Transfer RNA (tRNA) molecules are approximately 80 nucleotides in length. Their secondary structure includes four short double-helical elements and three loops (D, anti-codon, and T loops).
Source: RNAcentral
GGAGGGAUGUCCGAGCGGCCGAAGGAGCACGCUUGGAAAGCGUGUAAGGGAUAACCUCCCUUCGAGGGUUCGAAUCCCUCUCCCUCCA